CAGGCAGGAACUGCCGGGCGUGGAGGGCUCAAGACGCCCCCGAGAUGUAGCGAGCAGCCCGCCGGAGCGGCGGCUGUUCGUGCAGUUCAAGUAUCCCGCGACUAUUGAAAUGGGCCAAUGGGAAGGGCCGAUGCCCCUGACGUCACUCAAGGCGACACGGUCGCAGACAAAUGAAGGAAGCCGUGAAGGCCACGGAGCGGGGGCGGAGAAACGCCGAAAGGCGGCGGGAGGGAAAACGCCUGCGCCGGCCAAAGAGGCGGGGCCUGAACUUCUAGUGACUAAACUGGGCCACUUGGUGACCCGAGGGUGCUGGGCCGCGGCUGUCUCUAGGACCGACGGAGUCAAACCCCAGCAAUUGUUAGUGGCCGCGCCUGCCUAACGCUGGCCGUGGGGCCCUCAGUUGGCUGGACUGACUGGUCUCCCAAGCUCGGAUCCGACCCAGCCGCGAACCGGCCUGGGGUUUCUUCAGUCAUGCUUCCGAAUUCACCUCAUGAAGAUGUGAUUAGGUACUUUCAAGUUGGGUAUCCAGGAAGGUGUUCUGAAAGUAAAAUGUCACACAUUCUCCUGCUGGAGGUUUUUCAGGAACUUCAGGGAGAAAAAAAAUACAAAGAAAUGAGAUCAUAUGUUGCAAGAUAUACCAGAGGGAAAAAAGUUCAAGUUUUCAAUUAAAGGAGCCACACUUCGCUCUGAGACUGCUAGUUAGCUAGUACUAAGCAGGAAGAAGUGAUAUAGUACGCAUAUCCAAAAGCUCCGACACAAUCUCAUCCAAGGUACUUUGCACAUGGUUGAUAUUUACAAGAUGGUACAAAAGCAAUGGUGGAUAAAGUUGGUAGUGUCUGGCAAGAACCAAAACAAUGGCAACAAACCAUACCAGUGGUCACUGUAAUCUUUAUCACCACUUGAGAGUAAGGAAAAAAAAAAUCCAACUUCAUGUAAGAAUGUUCUUGAUGAAGCAAUAAAAUGUUCUUGAUGAAGCAAUAAAAAGUAUUAUUCUUGUUAAA
Canis lupus familiaris (dog) is the source of this 1001-nucleotide long non-coding RNA. RefSeq lists it as uncharacterized. The record is from RefSeq and is a predicted model, not a curated record. The transcript is spliced from 6 exons. NCBI's taxonomy places the organism in Eukaryota, Metazoa, Chordata, Mammalia, Carnivora, Canidae.